This 301-nucleotide ribosomal RNA is filed under the name uncultured bacterium. Its description in RNAcentral is "partial 16S ribosomal RNA". It matches the Rfam family "Bacterial small subunit ribosomal RNA", at positions 509 to 809 of the family's 1533-position model. The record is from RNAcentral.
CAGCCGCCGCGGUAAUACAGAGGGUGCGAGCGUUAAUCGGAUUUACUGGGCGUGAAGCGUGCGUAGGCGGCUAAUUGAGUCGGAUGUGAAAUCCCCGAGCUUAACUUGGGAAUUGCAUUCGAUACUGGUUAGCUAGAGUGUGGGAGAGGAUGGUAGAAUUCCAGGUGUAGCGGUGAAAUGCGUAGAGAUCUGGAGGAAUACCGAUGGCGAAGGCAGCCAUCUGGCCUAACACUGACGCUGAGGUACGAAAGCAUGGGGAGCAAACAGGAUUAGAUACCCGAGUAGUCCCUGUCUCUUAUAA